Molecule: ribosomal RNA, 768 nt
Filed under: bacterium
Lineage: Bacteria
Description: bacterial SSU rRNA
Rfam family: Bacterial small subunit ribosomal RNA
Source: RNAcentral
GAUGAACCACUUCGGUGGGGAUUAGUGGCGAACGGGUGAGUAACACGUGGGCAAUCUGCCCUGCACUCUGGGACAAGCCCUGGAAACGGGGUCUAAUACCGGAUACUGACCAUCACGGGCAUCUGUGGUGGUCGAAAGCUCCGGCGGUGCAGGAUGAGCCCGCGGCCUAUCAGCUAGUUGGUGAGGUAAUGGCUCACCAAGGCGACGACGGGUAGCCGGCCUGAGAGGGCGACCGGCCACACUGGGACUGAGACACGGCCCAGACUCCUACGGGAGGCAGCAGUGGGGAAUAUUGCACAAUGGGCGAAAGCCUGAUGCAGCGACGCCGCGUGAGGGAUGACGGCCUUCGGGUUGUAAACCUCUUUCAGCAGGGAAGAAGCGAAAGUGACGGUACCUGCAGAAGAAGCGCCGGCUAACUACGUGCCAGCAGCCGCGGUAAUACGUAGGGCGCAAGCGUUGUCCGGAAUUAUUGGGCGUAAAGAGCUCGUAGGCGGCUUGUCACGUCGGUUGUGAAAGCCCGGGGCUUAACCCCGGGUCUGCAGUCGAUACGGGCAGGCUAGAGUUCGGUAGGGGAGAUCGGAAUUCCUGGUGUAGCGGUGAAAUGCGCAGAUAUCAGGAGGAACACCGGUGGCGAAGGCGGAUCUCUGGGCCGAUACUGACGCUGAGGAGCGAAAGCGUGGGGAGCGAACAGGAUUAGAUACCCUGGUAGUCCACGCCGUAAACGGUGGGCACUAGGUGUGGGCAACAUUCCACGUUGUCCGUGCCGCA